RNAcentral lists this ribosomal RNA (253 nucleotides) under uncultured bacterium. Its description in RNAcentral is "partial 16S ribosomal RNA". It matches the Rfam family "Bacterial small subunit ribosomal RNA", at positions 524 to 776 of the family's 1533-position model. The record is from RNAcentral.
UACGUAGGUGGCAAGCGUUGUCCGGAUUUACUGGGUGUAAAGGGCGUGCAGCCGGAGAGACAAGUCAGAUGUGAAAUCCACGGGCUCAACCCGUGAACUGCAUUUGAAACUGUUUCCCUUGAGUGUCGGAGAGGUAAUCGGAAUUCCUUGUGUAGCGGUGAAAUGCGUAGAUAUAAGGAAGAACACCAAUGGCGAAGGCGGAUUACUGGACGAUAACUGACGGUGAGGCGCGAAAGCGUGGGGAGCAAACAGG